RNAcentral lists this transfer-messenger RNA (352 nucleotides) under Limnochordales. RNAcentral's name for it is "DUMU01 sp014896315 Standard tmRNA". It matches the Rfam family "transfer-messenger RNA". From Rfam's summary of the family: Bacterial tmRNA, also known as 10Sa RNA or SsrA, is named for its dual tRNA and mRNA-like properties. RNAcentral also lists the same sequence under 1 other name. Lineage: Bacteria; Bacillati; Bacillota; Limnochordia. The record is from RNAcentral.
GGGGGUGAAUCAGGUUCGACACGGGCCGGGAUGGCAACCGUUGCGAGCCGAGCUUCCCUGACUCGUUAAACCGGGGAAUUCAAAUAAAGUGCCAACAACAACACUGCUCUAGCUGUUGCUGCGUAAGCAGCCUGCUACGCCUGCCCGGUAACGCCCGCUAACCGGACCAGGUGUCAUCUAGCGGGAUCGCUCCGGCCGAGUGCCUGGUAGGUCGGGGGACUCUUACAGGCUGGUCCUGCUCGGACCCGGCUCUCGCGGGUCUGGCGGGACGAGAGCAAGGCGAGAGCUACGCUCGUAGAAGCGGUUGUGGUCCUGCUCGUGGACAGCGGUGCAACUCCGCUCACCUCCACCA